RNAcentral lists this ribosomal RNA (253 nucleotides) under uncultured bacterium. Its description in RNAcentral is "partial 16S ribosomal RNA". It matches the Rfam family "Bacterial small subunit ribosomal RNA", at positions 524 to 776 of the family's 1533-position model. The record is from RNAcentral.
UACGAAGGGGGCUAGCGUUGCUCGAAAUCACUGGGCGUAAAGCGCACGUAGGCGGCUUUUUAAGUCAGGGGUGAAAUCCUGGAGCUCAACUCCAGAACUGCCUUUGAUACUGAGAAGCUUGAGUCCGGGAGAGGUGAGUGGAACUGCGAGUGUAGAGGUGAAAUUCGUAGAUAUUCGCAAGAACACCAGUGGCGAAGGCGGCUCACUGGCCCGGUACUGACGCUGAGGUGCGAAAGCGUGGGGAGCAAACAGG